AGACGAAAGUUAAUAUACAUAUUGGUUUCGGCCCAAUUAUAGAGAAUAAAUUCUCUUCGUCUU
This 63-nucleotide transfer RNA is filed under the name Glycera americana (American bloodworm). Its description in RNAcentral is "tRNA-Arg". Lineage: Eukaryota; Metazoa; Annelida; Polychaeta; Phyllodocida; Glyceridae. The record is from RNAcentral.